GGCUGGCUGGCUGGAUUUGGCAGCUGUGACUUAAAAAGGAAAGGGGAGGAAAUAAAAGCCCCCCCUCCUUCCCUCCCCUCCGCGACUGAAUUGAGAAAGAGGGAGGGAGAGAGAGAGAGAGACAGAAAGAGAAGAUAAAAUCUCACAAAACUUGGCACCGAGUCCCUUCCACUCAACAGCCAACAUAAAUCAGGAGAGAGAUGACAUGAUACGGGCGGCGAGCGAGUCAUUUGUGGAGGCAGAUUGGCGAGGGAGUCAUGGAGUCAAGAAGCAGCCGACUCGGGAGCUCCAUGCCGGAGUUUCCAUCAUCCCAACGACGGGGCUUGAACAGGGACCGUCAGCAACAGUCCCGAUCAAAGGCCCCGACCACCACGGGUGAAGAAAGGAGGAAGAUGACUGAACUUCAUUGCCUUCCAUCACAGUGAGGAAUGGGGAUUCCACUGUGGUGGAUGUUUAUGUUACACAUUAUAUUAUGUGCUGUGUGUAUUUUUGCUUUUUACUUAGUAUGGCUGGAUGGUGACUCAAACAUCCCUGCACCUUAAUUGGUACAUGUGCCAAUAAAAUUGAAUCUUGAAUCU
Leucoraja erinaceus (little skate) is the source of this 578-nucleotide long non-coding RNA. RefSeq lists it as uncharacterized. The record is from RefSeq and is a predicted model, not a curated record. The transcript has 2 exons. NCBI's taxonomy places the organism in Eukaryota, Metazoa, Chordata, Chondrichthyes, Rajiformes, Rajidae.